UGAGUCGGCCGGGCGGCCGCGUGGAUCAUCGCAGAUGAUCUUCGAGGAAAGUCCGGGCUCCUCAGGGCAGGGUGGUUGUCAACGGCAACCCGGCGCGAGCCGCGGGACAGUGCCACAGAGAACAGACCGCCGGGCGUUCAGCACGAACGUCCCGGUAAGGGUGAAACGGUGGUGUAAGAGACCACCAGCGUCCCGGGUGACCGGGACGGCUCGGUAAACCCCACCCGGAGCAAGGUCGAGAGGUCGGACCUUCGGGACCGACUGCGCAGGCGUUCGAGGGCGGCCCGUCCGAUGCCUGCGGGUGGACCGCUGGAGCGCGUCGGCAACGGCGCGCCGAGAUGGAUGGUCGCCGAACGGGACGUCGCAAGGCGCCCGGGAACAGAACCCGGCUUACAGGCCGGCUCAUCCC
RNAcentral lists this RNase P RNA (409 nucleotides) under Nakamurella flava. RNAcentral's name for it is "Bacterial RNase P class A". It matches the Rfam family "Bacterial RNase P class A". Rfam says of the family: Ribonuclease P (RNase P) is a ubiquitous endoribonuclease, found in archaea, bacteria and eukarya as well as chloroplasts and mitochondria. Its best characterised activity is the generation of mature 5'-ends of tRNAs by cleaving the 5'-leader elements of precursor-tRNAs. Lineage: Bacteria; Bacillati; Actinomycetota; Actinomycetes; Nakamurellales; Nakamurellaceae. The record is from Rfam by way of RNAcentral.